UACAAUGUUAUUGAUCAGUAUAUGUUAAUCUAUAUAAUGAUAAAUAAAUAGACAUUUCAUUUUUUUAGUAUUCAAUUUGAUUUGUGUAGAAGUUUAUUUUAUCUAGUUUUAGUAUAUCUACGUAUUUAAAUUGAUUUUUUAUAUUUAGGUUGAUGGUUUGCUACAUCACUUUGAUGUUUUGAUGUGUGGAGUGAAUGCAGGUGAACUCUUGAUAAAAGCAUUAGAUGAUGAAAAGUUUAUGGAUAUUUGCUAUUUACAGCAAAUCAGUUCUUGCUGGUAGUUGAUUGCAUUGUUGUGGUUGAUGGAAUGGCCAAUUUUAUCAAGUCAUUUUGUUGUUGUUUUUAUAUUUUUAAUAUACCAUAUUCAAAAGAAGCUUCAUCUAUAUUAGAAUUUUUUCAACGUGCAUUUUUCGGCAUCAAUCCUGAAAAAGGGAGCAAAUCAAGCCGUACGAAGAAGACUUCAUCAAUAAACAAAGUAUUGCUGUCAAUACUGUAGAAGUUUGCGAGAUUUAAUAAUAUUUGAAUUUACCACGUAGUCAAACUUCUAAAUAUAACUUUGAAAAAACAAUUUAUUUUGAAGUUAUUUAUAUUUUUUUGUAAAUUUUCAAAAGUUUUACAAUAAUAUCUU
Molecule: long non-coding RNA, 627 nt
Organism: Hydra vulgaris (swiftwater hydra)
Lineage: Eukaryota; Metazoa; Cnidaria; Hydrozoa; Anthoathecata; Hydridae
Source: RefSeq, a predicted model, not a curated record